CCCUUAGAUGUUCUGGGCUGCACGCGCGCUACACUGACACACUCAGCGAGUCUCCUGGUCCGAGAGGAUUGGGUAAUCAUGUGAGCGUGUGUCGUGAUGGGGAUAGAAUAUUGUAAUUAUUACUCUUCAACGAGGAAUUCCUAGUAAGCGCGAGUCAGCAGCUCGCGCUGAUUACGUCCCUGCCCUUUGUACACACCGCCCGUCGCUCCUACCAAUGGGUGAUCCGGGGAAUGACUCGGACUCUGGAAUUAGCUAUUUAUAGCUUUUAUCCGGAGGAAGUUUUGUGAACCUUAUCACUUGGAGGAAGGAGAAGUCGUAACA
RNAcentral lists this ribosomal RNA (321 nucleotides) under uncultured eukaryote. RNAcentral's name for it is "partial 18S ribosomal RNA". It matches the Rfam family "Eukaryotic small subunit ribosomal RNA", at positions 1470 to 1796 of the family's 1831-position model. The record is from RNAcentral.